UUUGGAAGUUAAAAAAUCGUAACAAGGUUUCCGUAGGUGAACCUGCGGAAGGAUCAUUACCGAGUGUAGGGUUCCUAGCGCCCGGGCCCGCGCCCGCCGGAGACACCACGAACUCUGUCUGAUCUAGUGAAGUCUGAGUUGAUUGUAUCGCAAUCAGUUAAAACUUUCAACAAUGGAUCUCUUGGUUCCGGCAUCGAUGAAGAACGCAGCGAAAUGCGAUAACUAGUGUGAAUUGCAGAAUUCCGUGAAUCAUCGAGUCUUUGAACGCACAUUGCGCCCCCUGGUAUUCCGGGGGGCAUGCCUGUCCGAGCGUCAUUGCUGCCCAUCAAGCACGGCUUGUGUGUUGGGUCGUCGUCCCCUCUCCGGGGGGGACGGGCCCCAAAGGCAGCGGCGGCACCGCGUCCGAUCCUCGAGCGUAUGGGGCUUUGUCACCCGCUCUGUAGGCCCGGCCGGCGCUUGCCGAACGCAAAUCAAUCUUUUCCAGGUGACCUCGAUCAAGCAGCCCUGCAUGCCC
Molecule: ribosomal RNA, 514 nt
Filed under: Aspergillus flavus
Lineage: Eukaryota; Fungi; Ascomycota; Eurotiomycetes; Eurotiales; Aspergillaceae
Description: eukaryotic LSU rRNA
Rfam family: 5.8S ribosomal RNA (bases 162-315)
Source: RNAcentral